AACGCACCUUGCACCUUUUGGUAUUCCGAAGGGUAUGCUCGUUUGAGUGUCAUUGUACUCUCACACUCUCUGAUUUCAAAUCGGGAGCGGUGGACUUGGAUGCUGCUGCUUUAUUGUCAGGCUCAUCCCAAAUGCCUUAGUGCAACUCUAUUUGGACAUAGUACAGCGUGAUAAGUAUCUUCGCUGGCAACUCGCAAGAGGAUGUCCAUUUCGGGGCUCUGUGCUUCAAACUGUCCUUUGGGACAAUCUCCGACAACUUGACCUCAAAUCGAGUAGGACUACCCGCUGAACUUAA
Molecule: unclassified non-coding RNA, 295 nt
Filed under: uncultured Sebacinaceae
Lineage: Eukaryota; Fungi; Basidiomycota; Agaricomycetes; Sebacinales; Sebacinaceae
Description: sequence contains ITS2
Source: RNAcentral